GCCAGGUGUGGCGGUGCAUGCUUGUAAUCCCAGCUACUUGGGAGGCUGAGGCAGGAGGAUAGCUUGAGCCCGGGAGGCAGAGGUUGCAGUGAGCUGACAUCACGCCACUGCACUCUAGCCUGGGCAACAGAGUGAGACCCUGUCUCUA
Molecule: non-coding RNA, 148 nt
Filed under: Nomascus leucogenys (northern white-cheeked gibbon)
Lineage: Eukaryota; Metazoa; Chordata; Mammalia; Primates; Hylobatidae
Source: Rfam by way of RNAcentral